RNAcentral lists this non-coding RNA (22 nucleotides) under Arabidopsis thaliana (thale cress). Lineage: Eukaryota; Viridiplantae; Streptophyta; Magnoliopsida; Brassicales; Brassicaceae. The record is from RNAcentral.
UCAAUAGGUCAGCCUUCUGCUC